This 520-nucleotide ribosomal RNA is filed under the name uncultured bacterium. Its description in RNAcentral is "bacterial SSU rRNA". It matches the Rfam family "Bacterial small subunit ribosomal RNA", at positions 26 to 518 of the family's 1533-position model. The record is from RNAcentral.
AGGACGAACGGCUGGCGGCGUGCCUAAUACAUGCAAGUCGAACGGUCUUUCUAUGGAAGCUUGCUCCACUGAGAAGAUAGUGGCGAACGGGUGAGUAACACGUGGGUAACCUGCCCAUAAGAGGGGGAGUAACAUCCGGAAACGGGUGCUAAUACCGCAUAGUUUUCUUGAUCGCAUGAUCGGGAAAGGAAAGACGGCCUUUGUGCUGUCGCUUAUGGAUGGACCCGCGGCGUAUUAGUUAGUUGGUGAGGUAACGGCUCACCAAGACGAUGAUACGUAGCCGACCUGAGAGGGUGAUCGGCCACAUUGGGACUGAGACACGGCCCAAACUCCUACGGGAGGCAGCAGUAGGGAAUCUUCCGCAAUGGACGAAAGUCUGACGGAGCAACGCCGCGUGAGUGAAAGAAGGUUUUCGGAUCGUAAAACUCUGUUGUCAGAGAAGAACAAGUUGGAGAGUAACUGCUCCAGCCUUGACGGUAUCUGACCAGAAAGCCACGGCUAACUACGUGCCAGCCGCCGC